This is a long non-coding RNA of Canis lupus familiaris (dog), 2099 nucleotides long. RefSeq lists it as uncharacterized. NCBI's taxonomy places the organism in Eukaryota, Metazoa, Chordata, Mammalia, Carnivora, Canidae. The record is from RefSeq and is a predicted model, not a curated record. The transcript is spliced from 2 exons.
GGCUUGAACUCAUGACCCUGAGAUCAAGAUAUGAGCUGAGAUCAAGAGUUGGAUGCUUAACCGACUGAACCACCCAGGCACCUUGAUGUUGGAUGCCAUUAUUGAGAAGAAAUUUCAGAAGAGAAAUCAAAGUUCUGUUCAGGAUAGAUUAAAUUUUAAAUGCCUAUUAGACAUAUGACUAAAGAUAUCAAGUAGAGGUGGAUAUUUAAGUCCAGAACUCAGGAAAGGAGUCAGGACCAGAGGUCGAAAUUUGGAGUUGUCAGCCUCGGCAUGGGGAUCAUGUCUCAGGACUAGAGAGAAUCACCCAGAUGGAGAAAAGAGCCAAGGUGUGGCUCUGGGGCCCUUCUCCUUGUAGAAAGCAGCACAGAGGGGAAGGAGGUUGAGAAGAAGUGGCUUAUGAGGUUGGAUGAGAAUCAGAAGAGUUUAGUGUUAACAGAAGUCAAGAUAAGAAAGUGCUUCAAAUAAGAGAGUUCAACUGUGUCAAAUACUGCCAAGAGUCAAGAAGGAGGAAGAGAGAAAAGUGGCCCUUGGAUUUGACAAUGUGAAGUCACUGGUGACUUUGCCAGGAGUAUCUGCACUGGAGCAAAGACAUAAACUUCCAAGGGUGGAAUUUCAGACCAGCAGGCCAGGUGGAAGAGCGCCUUAGGAGUGAGGAAUCUUCCUGAGGCCACCCUAGGCCUGCUCCCGAGGAAGGCCCAGCUCCAAGGUAGUCAGCAGCUGGUGAUGGGAGGCCCCAGGCUGCUGGCCGCGGGAGGGGCUGGUCCCAUGGCCAAGACUCUGGCCUCGCUCCACGACUGGAGUUUGAAAUCGUGAGGCCCUGUCUGAAAAUCUUGAGCAAGAGUCUUGCUUAUCCCAGAGGAAUGUUUGGAAACACUAAUAAUAUUACAUUUGUGGUGAAUGUUUCAUUAUCUUACUGUUUUCUUCAGCCAAUGUGAUAGACACAUCGUAGUUUUAAGGAUUCUUAAACUUGCCUUUUUGUGAAAUGGCUGAAGUUCCCACAUAUAGGUUCGCUCCUGCUCAUGGAAACCGGUUAGUUUCAUCAUUCUGUUUCAUCAUUCCUCAGCUUGUCUAAAUCAGAAGUGUUUUUGAUAUUCAAACGCUGACCUCUGGGCAAAUGAAAAAUUGCUAAGUCGCAGUAAAAUUCUUCCAGGCUUGGAGCACAUAGUCAUGAGCACAUCGCUGCAGAAUGGGAUCCCUGGGGCUGAUGUCAAGACAGGGAACACCAGCCCCCAUGGAAGAGUCUGCCCCUCCUCUGGAGUUCUCUUAAUGGACUUGUGAACCAGUCAACUCUGCGUGCUUGACAUGUGUCGGUUCUCAGAACAACUCCUGCCCCAUUUUAAAAAGUCAUUAAGUUCCAUUAUAACUAAAAGCAAAGACUAUUGGUUAACACUUCUCCCCCCAAAACACAAUUCACAUGUUAGACAGACUAGUUAUUUUAUCCCAGUGAGUUGAAAAUUCACUAUGCAUUUCCCCUCCUCUGAUCCUUAUGGUUGCUGAAACACAAGUCAGAGCUAUGAUGUAGAAGCAUAUUUGCCUGUUUUCUUUAGAGCCUGAGCUCCUUAAGGACAGUGGAUGAAUCUCAUGUAUCUUUUCUUCCCUCCAGGGCCCUUUGUAUAGUAAGUUCUUAUAAAAAAAAAAUUCUGAGGUGGAAAAAUGAAUAAAGAUACUCAUUCCUUAUCCUAUUUUUACAAAUUAAAAUCCUUCAUUUCCUGACUGUUUUGUCUACAGCAUUCUAAACAUCCUUACAGCCAUAAUAAUACUGUCUCUACCACAACACAGAUGAGCUUCAGAAACUUACAAACUUGUGCUCAGUGAAAGCAGCCAUAGAGGACCAUAUAUUGGAUAGUUCCCUUUAUGUGAAAUGUCCAGAGCAGGCAAAUCUCUAGAGACAGAAAAGAGAUUAGCUGUUAUAUAGGACUGAGUGGGAAGGAGAAGGGGGUGUGGAGACUGCCAAAGAUAGAAGUUUCUUUUUAGGGUCAUGAAAAAUGUUCUAAAAUUUAUGUUAUGGUCAUGAUUCAUUAACUCUGUAAAUUUACUGAGUGGUACAUUCUGAUGCUAUGGUAUGUAACUUACAAAUCAAUAAAGUUAUUAAAAAUGAA